AGUGCAAAAAGGGCUGAAGACAGUUUUUUAUGCAAGUUGUCUAUAUGCUUGUGCCAGUUUAGGUUCUUAUCAAUUGUAAUUCCUAGGAAUUUUGCAUUGUCGGUUAUGUUUUGCUGCGUGAGGUUUUCUUCUUCUUGCUGUCUGUUUGUAGUUGUGAAUUUUAUGUGUAUAGUUUUCUUCUUAUUUAUAGUUAGGUUCAAUUCAAGUUGUCACAGAUUUCUGUUGAUAGUUGUAGGGUUUCUUCAAUUUUUUGGGGCGUUUCUUCUGAUUUAGUUGUCGGAGUGUAGUUUUGGUGUCAUCAGCGAACAUUAUGCAUGUAUAAUCUGGGGUAUUUGAUAAGACAUCAAGUUCAAGUUGACUAGUUGAGUGAGACAAAGAUAGAUAAAGAAAUCGUUUAGUGAGUUAGAGAUACUAACCUGUGGUUGACUAGUGACUAUUUUAAGCCAUACUUACCCCAAUUAAUUGUUUUGUAAAUGUGACUAACCUCCAACAAACAUGGUCUAAUUAACAACAAGCUUCGACAUAGUUAAUAAGAAUCUAUUGUAUGCCAUUACAACAACAAAAAAUGAAUAGUGAUGAGGAGGAAGUAUCAAAUCAGUCAAUUAAUAAAAUGAAGAAAUCAUUACAUUCUCAAGGAUAUCGUGAAGGUUUAGCCUCAGGAAGAGAAAUGAAAUUUCAACACGGAUUCGAUGAAGGUUUUGCUAAAGGUUUUCAUGCUGGAUAUGCUUUAGGAUUACACAAUGGACUUUUGAGUUGCCUUAAAUCGGAUUUGAGCACAAUCAAACAAGCAAUCAAAAAUCAACUUUCUACCAUAGAUCAAGUGGAUAAAGCAAGCAGAGGACUUUGUGUUAUCUGUUCACAAGAAAAAGAAUUCAGUCUAAAUAGUGAUUGCAGUGAAAGUCAACUUGAAAUGCAGCAAAUAACAGAAAUCAAACAACUUCAAGGAACAAUUAUUUGUGAAAGAAUAAAUCAAAUGUUAACAAAAGAUUAUUCUUCUAUUUUAAAAUCUAAUAGAUUGGAUGGUUUGUUAACAUCACUUUAAUUCUGUAAAGACUGCUCCUAAAAUCUCAUUGUUUAAAAUAUAAAUUUAAUGCUGCAACUCUAGGAUUUCAUUUUGUUUCAUCCAUCAUUAUAAAAAUGUAAUCCUGGAUUACAAAUUCUUCACAAAU
Molecule: long non-coding RNA, 1169 nt
Organism: Macrosteles quadrilineatus (aster leafhopper)
Lineage: Eukaryota; Metazoa; Arthropoda; Insecta; Hemiptera; Cicadellidae
Exons: 5
Source: RefSeq, a predicted model, not a curated record